UACGUAGGGUGCGAGCGUUGUUCGGAUUUACUGGGCGUAAAGGGCGCGUAGGCGGCGCAACAAGUCACUUGUGAAAUCUCCGGGCUUAACCCGGAGCGGUCAAGUGAUACUGUCGUGCUAGAGUGCGGAAGGGGCUACUGGAAUUCUCGGUGUAGCGGUGGAAUGCGUAGAUAUCGAGAGGAACACCUGCGGCGAAGGCGGGUAGCUGGGCCGACACUGACGCUGAUGCGCGAAAGCCAGGGGAGCGAACGGG
Molecule: ribosomal RNA, 253 nt
Filed under: uncultured bacterium
Lineage: Bacteria
Description: partial 16S ribosomal RNA
Rfam family: Bacterial small subunit ribosomal RNA
Source: RNAcentral